CAGAACGAACGCUGGCGGCGCGUCUUAAGCAUGCAAGUCGAACGGCAAGAGGUAGCAAUACCUCCUAGAGUGGCGGACUGGUGAGUAACACGUGGGUGACAUACCCUUCAGAUGGGGAUAGCUAUUAGAAAUAGUAGAUAAUACCGAAUACGAGCACAGGGGUUAGAGAUCUGUGAGGAAAGGAGCUAAGGCUCCGCUGAAGGAAUGGCCUGCGGCCCAUUAGCUAGUUGGUGAGGUAAGAGCCCACCAAGGCGAUGAUGGGUAUCCGGCCUUAGAGGGUGAACGGACACAUUGGGACUGAGAUACGGCCCAGACUCCUACGGGAGGCAGCAGCUAAGAAUAUUCCGCAAUGGACGAAAGUCUGACGGAGCGACGCCGCCGUGGAUGAAGAAGGCCGGAAGGUUGUAAAAUCCUUUUGAAACUGAAGAAUAAGCGUUGUAGGGAAUGACAGCGUGGUGACAGUAGGUUUUGAAUAAGCAACGGCUAAUUACGUGCCAGCCGCCGC
This 505-nucleotide ribosomal RNA is filed under the name uncultured bacterium. RNAcentral's name for it is "bacterial SSU rRNA". It matches the Rfam family "Bacterial small subunit ribosomal RNA", at positions 25 to 518 of the family's 1533-position model. The record is from RNAcentral.